CCUUCUGUCAGGUGCAUCGCGAUCGUAUUUCGAGUUGCCCGAAAUGGUGUGUGAGAGCGGUGAGAGCUAAACACCCGCAGGAGUGUGCCUCAUACCCGUUUCUAAUCUGUCGGACAAAACACGACUGGUCUUCGGAGCGUCGACCUGAACCGGCGGACUCGGUACGUGACAUCUAAACACCCGCAGACGGUCGUUGCCGGUGGAAAUGCCCAGAUUGUCAACUCGCGGAAGCCAUUCAUCGACUCUUCCAGAGGAGUGAAUUCUCCCAACCUCCAGGCCAUGCAUCAUACCCGGUUCAAAUCUUCCGGACACAACACGAACGGGCUUAGGAGCGUCCUCCUGAAACCGGCGAACUCGGUACGUGACAGCUAAACACCUGCAGACGGACGCCAAAGAGUUUCGACCGCGAGACGGAGUAAGUUCCCCCAACCUCCAGGCUGUGCAUCAUACCCGAUUCCAAUCUGCCGGACAAAACAUGACCGGGCUUCGGAGCGUCCUCCUGAAACCGGCGGACUCGGUGCGUGACAGCGAAACA
This is a long non-coding RNA of Culex quinquefasciatus (southern house mosquito), 535 nucleotides long. RefSeq lists it as uncharacterized. The record is from RefSeq and is a predicted model, not a curated record. The transcript has 3 exons. Lineage: Eukaryota; Metazoa; Arthropoda; Insecta; Diptera; Culicidae.